CUAUGGCUUAACCAUAGAACUGCUUGGGAAACUGAUAAUCUAGAGUGAGGGAGAGGCAGAUGGAAUUGGUGGUGUAGGGGUAAAAUCCGUAGAGAUCACCAGGAAUACCCAUUGCGAAGGCGAUCUGCUGGAACUCAACUGACGCUAAUGCGUGAAAGCGUGGGGAGCAAACAGGAUUAGAUACCCUGGUAGUCCACGCCCUAAACGAUGUAUACUAGUUGUUGCUAAGCUAGUCUUGGCAGUAAUGCACCUAACGGAUUAAGUAUACCGCCUGGGGAGUACGGUCGCAAGAUUAAAACUCAAAGGAAUAGACGGGGACCCGCACAAGCGGUGGAGCAUGUGGUUUAAUUCGAAGAUACGCGAAGAACCUUACCCGGACUUGAUAUCUAACAAAUCAUCUAGAGAUAGAAGAGUGUCUGCUUGCAGAAAUGUUAAGACAGGUGCUGCACGGCUGUCGUCAGCUCGUGUCGUGAGAUGUUGGGUUAAGUCCCGCAACGAGCGCAACCCACGUCAUUAGUUGCUAACAGUUCGGCUGAGC
This 538-nucleotide ribosomal RNA is filed under the name uncultured Campylobacter sp. RNAcentral describes it as "bacterial SSU rRNA". It matches the Rfam family "Bacterial small subunit ribosomal RNA", at positions 602 to 1136 of the family's 1533-position model. The record is from RNAcentral. Lineage: Bacteria; Pseudomonadati; Campylobacterota; Epsilonproteobacteria; Campylobacterales; Campylobacteraceae.